This 68-nucleotide transfer RNA is filed under the name Marmota monax (woodchuck). RNAcentral's name for it is "tRNA.Ala". The stretch from base 3 to 63 matches the Rfam family "tRNA", at positions 6 to 65 of the family's 71-position model. Rfam says of the family: Transfer RNA (tRNA) molecules are approximately 80 nucleotides in length. Their secondary structure includes four short double-helical elements and three loops (D, anti-codon, and T loops). The record is from RNAcentral. Lineage: Eukaryota; Metazoa; Chordata; Mammalia; Rodentia; Sciuridae.
GUUGUAGCUUAGUGGUAGAGCACUUGCCUAGCAUGUAUGAGGCACUGGGUUUGAUCCUCAGCACCACA